Molecule: ribosomal RNA, 372 nt
Filed under: Svercus palmetorum
Lineage: Eukaryota; Metazoa; Arthropoda; Insecta; Orthoptera; Gryllidae
Description: partial 12S ribosomal RNA
Source: RNAcentral
UCGGGGUAGUAAUAGUUAUGAUCUUGAAACCCAAAGAAUUUGGCGGUGUUUUAGUCCUUUCAGAGGAAUCUGUCCUGUAAUUGAUACUACACGAUUUAUGUGACUCAGUUUUGUUUUCAGUUUAUAUACCGCCGUCAGUAAGAUUAUCUUGUGGAGAGUAUAAAAUUUCAUUAUAUGUUAUUAUAUGUUAUGUCAGGUCAAGGUGUAGCUAAUAAUUGAGUAGAGAUGGAUUACAAUAAAUUUAUUUAUAUGAAUAAUAAUUUGAAUAGGUUGUUUGAAAGUGGAUUUGAUUGUAAAUGAAUUAUAGAUUGAUUAGUUGAUUAGGGCUCUAGAAUGUGUACAUAUCGCCCGUCGCUCUCGUUUUAAGAUGAG